RNAcentral lists this ribosomal RNA (406 nucleotides) under uncultured bacterium. RNAcentral's name for it is "partial 16S ribosomal RNA". It matches the Rfam family "Bacterial small subunit ribosomal RNA", at positions 28 to 526 of the family's 1533-position model. The record is from RNAcentral.
GAUGAACGCUAGCUACAGGCUUAACACAUGCAAGUCGAGGGACCGGCGCACGGGUGAGUAACACGUAUCCAACCUGCCCUUUACUCGGGGAUAGCCUUUCGAAAGAAAGAUUAAUACCCGAUGUAAAGGAUGGGGAUGCGUUCCAUUAGGUUGUUGGUGAGGUAACGGCUCACCAAGCCUUCGAUGGAUAGGGGUUCUGAGAGGAAGGUCCCCUACAUUUGAACUAAGUCACGGUCCAAGCUCCUACAGGAGGCAGCAGUGAGGAAUAUUGGGAAAUUGGCGUUAGUCUGAACCAGCCAGGUAGCGUGAAGGAUGAAGGCUUAUGGGUCGUAAACUUCUUAUAUAUAAGAAUAUGUAUUAUAUGAAUAAGGAUCGGCUAACUCCGUGCCAGCCGCCGCGGUAAUAC